GACGAACGCUGGCGGCGUGCUUAACACAUGCAAGUCGAACGGAAAGGCCCUGCUUUUGUGGGGUGCUCGAGUGGCGAACGGGUGAGUAACACGUGAGUAACCUGCCCUUGACUUUGGGAUAACUUCAGGAAACUGGGGCUAAUACCGGAUAGGAGCUCCUGCUGCAUGGUGGGGGUUGGAAAGUUUCGGCGGUUGGGGAUGGACUCGCGGCUUAUCAGCUUGUUGGUGGGGUAGUGGCUUACCAAGGCUUUGACGGGUAGCCGGCCUGAGAGGGUGACCGGCCACAUUGGGACUGGGAUACGGCCCAGACUCCUACGGGAGGCAGCAGUGGGGAAUAUUGCACAAUGGGCGGAAGCCUGAUGCAGCAACGCCGCGUGCGGGAGGACGGCCUUCGGGUUGUAAACCGCUUUCGCCUGUGACGAAGCGUGAGUGACGGUAAUGGGGAAAGAAGCACCGGCUAACUACGU
Molecule: ribosomal RNA, 467 nt
Filed under: uncultured bacterium
Lineage: Bacteria
Description: partial 16S ribosomal RNA
Rfam family: Bacterial small subunit ribosomal RNA
Source: RNAcentral